Onychostoma macrolepis is the source of this 685-nucleotide long non-coding RNA. RefSeq lists it as uncharacterized. The record is from RefSeq and is a predicted model, not a curated record. Lineage: Eukaryota; Metazoa; Chordata; Actinopteri; Cypriniformes; Cyprinidae. The transcript has 3 exons.
UAAAUCACCCAGAUUCAAUCAGAUUUACUGAAUAUAAAAUACAACUGUGUCUGUGACUGAAUGUUUAACUUGCAUCAAGGAUAACAGAUCCCUUGUUUUAUUUGCAUCCACAAUGUGGGUCAUCAUGUAAAUUUCUUCUGUAACACAGAGGAGGAGCCUGAGAAUCUGACAGAUAUAUAAAGAUUGUUUGUGUCAGACUGAAGAACACAAAUGGUGAGUUACUGCUUUAUUCAUCAUUUACCUCUCAGAACAUUAAGAAAUGUAUACAACUUUCAGAAAAUAGAUUUAAAAAAUGUAAAUAAAACAUUUAUUUUAUUUUCAUCUAGAUAAACAAAAUCUCUGCUGUGAUCUACUGAGGAGAGAUUGAGCAGAUUGCUAUGAUGGCGUUUUUGUUGGCUCUUCUCUCUGUUGUUAUGGUGAGCGGAUGCAGUCAGGAUAAAGACAUGACAGUCGACUGUUCUGACCUCUUUAAAUCAGGACAAACCAUCAGUGGGAUUUACUCCAUAUAUCCAGCAGGUGACAUUCCUGUCUGGGUUUACUGUCAGAUGAUCUCAGACGGGAAAGCUGAAUACAAAGGAGGAUGGACGGUGAUUCAGAGGAGAAUGGACGGCAGUGUAAAUUUCUAUCGGCCGUGGGAUCAGUACAAGAGAGGAUUCGGGAAUGUGGAGAGUGAAUACUGGCUGGG